GGUGCUGUGGCUUAGUUGGUUAAGGGUUUUUCCUCAGUCUAGUAAACAGGAGAUCCUGGGUUCGAAUCCCAGCAGUGCCU
Molecule: transfer RNA, 80 nt
Filed under: Pangasianodon hypophthalmus (striped catfish)
Lineage: Eukaryota; Metazoa; Chordata; Actinopteri; Siluriformes; Pangasiidae
Rfam family: tRNA
About the family: Transfer RNA (tRNA) molecules are approximately 80 nucleotides in length. Their secondary structure includes four short double-helical elements and three loops (D, anti-codon, and T loops).
Source: Rfam by way of RNAcentral